CAGUUCAAUUCAGGGAGAAAUCAGGAAAGGCUCCAUGCAGAAAUAGGGUCUGUUAGAGCCAUCUUUGAGGAAUUGAGGCCUGGAGAUGGGAGGUCUUGAGUUCAAAUUUGACCUCAGACACUUUCUAGCUGGGUGACCCUGGGCAAGUCACUUAACCCCUAAUGCCUAGCCCUUACCGCUCCUCAGCCUUGGAAGCAAUACUCAGUGUUGAUUCCAAGAUGGAAGGGUUGUUUUUUUUUUUUUAAAAGAUUGCUCUACCAUGUCUUCUACAGGAAGCCUUCCUGAUCUUGCCCUCCUUCUCUCCCUUCCUCCCUCCUAAAACUUACCUGAUUUGGGGUGUAUUGGGGCUUUACUUGCCUCUCCCAAUAGAAUGUGAAGUCUCUGAGGGCAGGGGCAAUUUUAUUUCCAUCUGUGCCUAGCACAGUCCCUGGCAGUGGAUUUGGAGAAAUAGAGUGCUGAGCAGGACCACAGACAGAGAACAUCAAGGUGGCAAUCAGGGAAGGCACCUGGAGGAAGCGGGCUUUGAGGAAGGGAAAGGACGCCCGAAUGGAGGAAAGAUGGCAGGUCCCCAGACACAGCGUUCUUCCGAAGCCACACAGUCAUCGUCUUUCCUCCGUUCUCUCUUGCAGACGACGACGACGACGAUACAAUUUCCUACGAAAAUAUCUUAAUCUGCAAACCCUCGGAGGAAGGCAAAGGUGGGGAGGAAUCUCCGGAUUAUCAGAACUCGGCGUCCAUCGAGCAGUGGAGACAGUCGAUCAAGGUGGCAAGUACCAGGGAGGGAGCUGAACCCGGGAGCUGUCCAACCAGGACCUGCACUCUGGCAGGAAGCCUGGAGGACGACCCCAGCGAGCCCGAUUAUGUGAAUGGAGACAUGCCUUUCCUGUAGGGAGAAGGUGCUGGGAUGCAGCACAAGGACGCCACCCUCUGCCCGACCCACUCAUGGAAGCCCCAACACUGUCCCCUCCACAGGCCUCCCCACGGAGGGACUUUCCUCAGAAACCCUCCCACAGGCUGCCUCCGACCUCUCCUGCCUUCUUUUUCCGGAGGUUCCGAAGGGAAGCCCAGCACUCGGCCCCCAAGAUGGGCAAAUGGCGGCUCUGAGACUUUUGGGGGGGGGGUGUAGGAAGGCCCACCAUGUAGUCUGCCCACAUGGCGUGGGGUCCUGCAGGCGCCCCUGGGCUCCGGCCACCUCUGUUCCUUACUCCCCCAGGGGCUGGGAGGGCCUCCCUUUUCUCAUCUGUAACUUGGGGAGGGGGGCCUGGCUGGUCUGACCUUAACUGGAGGAGGCUCACCCCCACCUGAUGGACCGAAGGCAGGCCCUUGGCGUGGGCCCAGCCCAAAGCUGCUUCUUGGUCUGUAGCUCGUGCUAAGGCCGCAGGCUUAGUCUCAGAAAGCAUUAGGAUGUUCCUAUAAGGAGCCCCGUCCAGCCACUCAGCUAAUAAAUAAAGGGAUACUGAAGGCCA
RNAcentral lists this long non-coding RNA (1466 nucleotides) under Monodelphis domestica (gray short-tailed opossum). RNAcentral's name for it is "lncRNA (ENSMODG00000036177.2)". Lineage: Eukaryota; Metazoa; Chordata; Mammalia; Didelphimorphia; Didelphidae. The record is from RNAcentral.